Molecule: ribosomal RNA, 492 nt
Filed under: uncultured bacterium
Lineage: Bacteria
Description: partial 16S ribosomal RNA
Rfam family: Bacterial small subunit ribosomal RNA
Source: RNAcentral
AGUGAACGCUGGCGGUAUGCCUAACACAUGCCAGUCGAACGGCCGCACAGUAAGAGCUUGCUCUUACGGGUGGCGAGUGGCGGACGGGUGAGGAAUACAUCGGAAUCUACUUUUUCGGGGGGGAUAACGUAGGGAAACUUAUGCUAAUACCGCAUACGACCUACGGGUGGAAUCGGGGGAUAUUCAGACCUUGCGCGAUUGAAUGAGCCGAUGUCGGAUUAGCUAGUUGGCGGGGUAAAGGCCCACCAAGGCGACGAUCCGUAGCUGGUCUGAGAGGAUGAUCAGCCACACUGGAACUGAGACACGGUCCAGACUCCUACGGGAGGCAGCAGUGGGGAAUAUUGGACAAUGGGCGCAAGCCUGAUCCAGCCAUACCGCGUGGGUGAAGAAGGCCUUCGGGUUGUAAAGCCCUUUUGUUGGGAAAGAAAAGCAGCAGGUUAAUACCCCGCUGUUCUGACGGUACCCAAAGAAUAAGCACCGGCUAACUUCGUG